GUUCCCGUAGCGGAGUGGUUACCGCGUGACUCUUAUAAGCCAAUGAUUCUUUUGGUUCUAUGGUAGAAAUGUCAAGGUCCGGGGUUCGACCCCCCGCGGGAACA
This 104-nucleotide transfer RNA is filed under the name Tolypocladium paradoxum. RNAcentral describes it as "Elaphocordyceps paradoxa tRNA". It matches the Rfam family "tRNA". From Rfam's summary of the family: Transfer RNA (tRNA) molecules are approximately 80 nucleotides in length. Their secondary structure includes four short double-helical elements and three loops (D, anti-codon, and T loops). RNAcentral also lists the same sequence under 1 other name. Lineage: Eukaryota; Fungi; Ascomycota; Sordariomycetes; Hypocreales; Ophiocordycipitaceae. The record is from Rfam by way of RNAcentral.